This 520-nucleotide ribosomal RNA is filed under the name uncultured Glomus. RNAcentral's name for it is "SSU rRNA". It matches the Rfam family "Eukaryotic small subunit ribosomal RNA", at positions 569 to 1092 of the family's 1831-position model. Lineage: Eukaryota; Fungi; Glomeromycota; Glomeromycetes; Glomerales; Glomeraceae. The record is from RNAcentral.
AGCAGCCGCGGUAAUUCCAGCUCCAAUAGCGUAUAUUAAAGUUGUUGCAGUUAAAAAGCUCGUAGUUGAAUUUCGGGAUCAAUAUGUUGGUCGUGCCUUGGUACGUACUGGCAUUAUUGGUUCCUACCUUCUGAAGAACCUCGAUGUCAUUAAUUUGGUGUCUUGGGGAAUCAGGACUGUUACUUUGAAAAAAUUAGAGUGUUUAAAGCAGGCUCGCGCUUGAAUACAUUAGCAUGGAAUAAUGAAAUAGGACGUUUGAUUCUAUUUUGUUGGUUUCUAGGAUCGACGUAAUGAUUAAUAGGGAUAGUUGGGGGCAUUAGUAUUCAAUUGUCAGAGGUGAAAUUCUUGGAUUUAUUGAAGACUAACUACUGCGGAAGCAUUUGCCAAGGAUGUUUUCAUUAAUCAAGAACGAAAGUUAGGGGAUCGAAGACGAUCAGAUACCGUCGUAGUCUUAACCAUAAACUAUGCCGACUAGGGAUCGGAUGAUGUUAAUUUUUAAUGACUCAUUCGGCGCCUUAAC